GGGAAUGUCACGGCUUCGACGGGAUGAAAAGAAGAUUAAAACGGCAUAUAGUGUCUUCUGUGCUCACUUAAAACGGACAGAACAACUUAAAUGCAGACAAUACUGCUAAUUCUUACGCUUUAGCUGCUUAAUAAUUAAUCGGCUACGUUCUUAGGAUUUUUUCUCAUUGGAUUUUAAGAACGUCACUAAAUGAGAUAGGGUAUUAAAAUGUUAAGGGUUAAUACCUGAAAUUUACUUAACUUGCGGUUGUAAAGUUUGUUUGUUUUAUAACAACCGUGAAAUUAUAAAAUAAACUAAAUAUGUAGAAGUUUUAAUAGUCUUCAUUCCGGACCCGGGUUCGACUCCCGGCAU
This 351-nucleotide transfer-messenger RNA is filed under the name Bacteroidota bacterium. RNAcentral's name for it is "Bacteroidetes bacterium (bioreactor sludge metagenome) transfer-messenger RNA". It matches the Rfam family "transfer-messenger RNA". From Rfam's summary of the family: Bacterial tmRNA, also known as 10Sa RNA or SsrA, is named for its dual tRNA and mRNA-like properties. Lineage: Bacteria; Pseudomonadati; Bacteroidota. The record is from RNAcentral.